UCUCAGAUUAUUGAAGGUGCUCCGGGCACAGUUAGCAUGGGGAUGGAGAGAGACUCUGCGGUGCUUUGAUAAACAAUGAACUUAAAAGGAAAGAAAGUGAGGUUUACAGUCGACGCUGAGUCUGUCGUUCAGUCAGCCCAGCUUGGGCUCCAGACAUGUGAGUCAAGAAGCCAUCUUGAAAAUGGACUCUCUAGCCCUAGCUGUCCCCACCACCAGCCAUUCAGAUCGCUCCCUGUUACGUGAGUGGUCCCAGCUGAA
Long non-coding RNA from Lontra canadensis (Northern American river otter), 258 nucleotides. RefSeq lists it as uncharacterized. The record is from RefSeq and is a predicted model, not a curated record. The transcript is spliced from 3 exons. Lineage: Eukaryota; Metazoa; Chordata; Mammalia; Carnivora; Mustelidae.